UGUGGUUAUUACAGCAAAGAGGAUACACCUGUUCCCAUUCCGAACACAGAAGUUAAGCUCUUUAGCGCCGAUGGUACUUGGUGGGAAGCUGCCUGGGAGAGUAGGACGUAGCCGCGU
This 117-nucleotide ribosomal RNA is filed under the name Paraclostridium bifermentans. RNAcentral also lists the same sequence under 3 other names. Lineage: Bacteria; Bacillati; Bacillota; Clostridia; Peptostreptococcales; Peptostreptococcaceae. The record is from RNAcentral.